Long non-coding RNA from Eupeodes corollae, 535 nucleotides. RefSeq lists it as uncharacterized. The record is from RefSeq and is a predicted model, not a curated record. NCBI's taxonomy places the organism in Eukaryota, Metazoa, Arthropoda, Insecta, Diptera, Syrphidae. The transcript has 3 exons.
GGUUAAUAGAUCUUUGAGUUAUCAGUCCCCUCAACAUAGAGGAAAUUAUAUUAUCUGAAACACCCUCACUACUACUGCUACGACGAUAUAGAAGAGGCACAAUAUAGAACCUUCUAAGUUACGGAAGUAGGAAAUCAUUGAACUAACUGGAAUCGCCACAAGAAUACCCCUACAAACUGUCCUAAUGAUGUUCCAAGAGUCGUGAGCCGGCAACCUUCACGUAAUGAAAAUGUCAGAUUUGGAUUUUAGAAUUUGCCUCGUAAAAGAAUGACAACCAAAACGACUUAAGACUCCAUCAACUUACGAGCCCUAUUCCGGGAAUGCUUUAAUUAAUUAUAACCUAAUCAAUUUCAUUGUGCGUUAGUUGAACAGAAGGCUCAUGAUGGCAAAAUUACUUCAAACACUUAAACAAAACGAAGCGGUAUUGCAAAAAAUUCUGCAACGAGGAUCGAUUUGACUUUGCCGUUCAUUUGAUCCGACAACAUGCUAAAAAUAUCAUCAACUGAUAACCUACGUUCAUCGUGGCAGCUAAUUU